CAGAGGGAUAGGCCAGAGCCAGUGCUUCCAAGAUCUACCACCUCCAUGGGGAGAAGAGGCCAGGCACGACUUGGGUUUCAGGCUCCCCUGUCCCCGGCCUGUGGCACAGCCCACCUCACAUCCUGUUUCCCAAUCUGCUGCAACAGAAUGGGCCCAAGGAGCAAAGCCUGCUAUCCCCACCUCCCACACGGACACCAGAGCAUGCCGGCACCAGGGCCGGAGCCCCACACCAAGGAGCUCCCCGAGUCCAAGGACCCACUCCGGGCCUCAGCAGCUUGACUGUAGGGGUGGAGGCAGUGCUGGUCUGGCACUGGGCUGCCCUAGAGACUGCUCCCAGACUGCAGCAUCUGGGAAAUAGGUGGUGGAUGGCACAGAAUCCGAUGCGCACCCAGGUCCCACCAUUUGCUUUUGACCUUGAAGAACUCGCCUAAUCUUAACCUCAAUCUGAGAAAUGAGGUCACGAGAGAACCCACCUUGUUGGGUUACAAGAUUGAAAUGACAUCAUCCCUGUAACAUGCUUGGCUCAUACCUAGUUAAUAGGAAGUCCUCACCUGGGACAGAUUUCCUCCUAGAGUUGCAG
RNAcentral lists this long non-coding RNA (580 nucleotides) under Fukomys damarensis (Damara mole-rat). Its description in RNAcentral is "lncRNA (ENSFDAG00000028451.1)". Lineage: Eukaryota; Metazoa; Chordata; Mammalia; Rodentia; Bathyergidae. The record is from RNAcentral.